UGGCGAACGGGUGAGUAACACGUGGGCAAUCUGCCCUGCACUCUGGGACAAGCCCUGGAAACGGGGUCUAAUACCGGAUAUGACUGUCCGCCGCAUGGUGGAUGGUGUAAAGCUCCGGCGGUGCAGGAUGAGCCCGCGGCCUAUCAGCUUGUUGGUGAGGUAGUGGCUCACCAAGGCGACGACGGGUAGCCGGCCUGAGAGGGCGACCGGCCACACUGGGACUGAGACACGGCCCAUACUCCUACGGGAGGCAGCAGUGGGGAAUAUUGCACAAUGGGCGAAAGCCUGAUGCAGCGACGCCGCGUGAGGGAUGACGGCCUUCGGGUUGUAAACCUCUUUCAACAAGGAAGAAGCGAGAGUGACGGUACCUGCAGAAGAAGCGCCGGCUAACUACGUGCCAGCAGCCGCGGUAAUACGUAGGGCGCAAGCGUUGUCCGGAAUUAUUGGGCGUAAAGAGCUCGUAGGCGGCUUGUCACGUCGGUUGUGAAAGCCCGGGGCUUAACCCCGGGUCUGCAGUCGAUACGGGCAGGCUAGAGUUCGGUAGGGGAGAUCGGAAUUCCUGGUGUAGCGGUGAAAUGCGCAGAUAUCAGGAGGAACACCGGUGGCGAAGGCGGAUCUCUGGGCCGAUACUGACGCUGAGGAGCGAAAGCGUGGGGAGCGAACAGGAUUAGAUACCCUGGUAGUCCACGCCGUAAACGGUGGGCACUAGGUGUGGGCAACAUUCCACGUUGUCCGUGCCGCAGCUAA
This 747-nucleotide ribosomal RNA is filed under the name actinomycete CXB516. Its description in RNAcentral is "bacterial SSU rRNA". It matches the Rfam family "Bacterial small subunit ribosomal RNA", at positions 96 to 855 of the family's 1533-position model. Lineage: Bacteria; Bacillati; Actinomycetota; Actinomycetes; Actinomycetales. The record is from RNAcentral.